This 385-nucleotide unclassified non-coding RNA is filed under the name Hevea brasiliensis (rubber tree). The record is from RNAcentral. Lineage: Eukaryota; Viridiplantae; Streptophyta; Magnoliopsida; Malpighiales; Euphorbiaceae.
AAAAAACCCACUACUCUCUCUUCACUUCAUCCACAGCUCAAAAAUCUCCUCCAUUAAUCUUCGUUUUCGAGUCUUCUCUAAUCAGCCAUGGGCUCUGAUGCAGAUAUGGAGGACUAUGGAUUCGAGUAUUCAGAGGAGGAACCUGAAGAGCAGGAUGUUGAUAUUGAGAACCAAUACUACAACUCCAAAGGCUUGGCUGAAACAGACCCAGAGGCAGCACUUGAGGGUUUUGCUGAAGUAGUUCGUAUGGAACCUGAGAAGGCUGAUUGGGGAUUUAAAGCCUUAAAGCAAACUGUUAAGCUUUACUAUAAGCUAGGGAAGUACAAGGGAAUGAUGGACGCUUACAGAGAAAUGCUAACCUACAUCAAGUCAGCUGUGACAAGAA